GACGAACGCUGGCGGCGUGCCUAAUACAUGCAAGUAGAACGCUGAAGGAGGAGCUUGCUUCUCUGGAUGAGUUGCGAACGGGUGAGUAACGCGUAGGUAACCUGCCUGGUAGCGGGGGAUAACUAUUGGAAACGAUAGCUAAUACCGCAUAAUAGUAGAUGUUGCAUGACAUUUGCUUAAAAGGUGCAAUUGCAUCACUACCAGAUGGACCUGCGUUGUAUUAGCUAGUUGGUGAGGUAACGGCUCACCAAGGCGACGAUACAUAGCCGACCUGAGAGGGGGAUCGGCCAACCUGGGACUGAGACACGGCCCAGACUCCUACGGGAGGCAGCAGUAGGGAAUCUUCGGCAAUGGACGGAAGUCUGACCGAGCAACGCCGCGUGAGUGAAGAAGGGUUUCGGAUCGUAAAGCUCUGUUGUAAGAGAAGAACGAGUGUGAGAGUGGAAAGUUCACACUGUGACGGUAUCUUACCAGAAAGGGACGGCUAACUACGUG
This 495-nucleotide ribosomal RNA is filed under the name uncultured bacterium. Its description in RNAcentral is "partial 16S ribosomal RNA". It matches the Rfam family "Bacterial small subunit ribosomal RNA", at positions 28 to 507 of the family's 1533-position model. The record is from RNAcentral.